This 301-nucleotide ribosomal RNA is filed under the name uncultured bacterium. RNAcentral describes it as "partial 16S ribosomal RNA". It matches the Rfam family "Bacterial small subunit ribosomal RNA", at positions 509 to 807 of the family's 1533-position model. The record is from RNAcentral.
CAGUAGCCGCGGUAAUACGAAGGGGGCUAGCGUUGUUCGGAAUUACUGGGCGUAAAGCGCACGUAGGCGGAUAUUUAAGUCAGGGGCGAAAUCCCAGAGCUCAACUCUGGAACUGCCUUUGAUACUGGGUAUCUUGAGUAUGGAAGAGGUGAGUGGAAUUCCGAGUGUAGAGGUGAAAUUCGUAGAUAUUCGGAGGAACACCAGUGGCGAAGGCGGCUCACUGGUCCAUUACUGACGCUGAGGUGCGAAAGCGUGGGGAGCAAACAGGAUUAGAUACCCGGGUAGUCCCUGUCUCUUAUAC